CUGUCCUCGUGUCCUUCCGUUCUCUGAACCUGGGCAUUUCGUCUGUUUUUCGGGUGAGAGGUGCCGGUGAAAUUUAAUCAAGGAGGUCCUUUUCUGCCCUCCUUGUACAAGAGAAUUUUACCUGUGACUUUUGCUUUUUUGAGCGGCAUUGAGCUUUACUGCCCUGAUGGGGACCUCCAGUACCAUCAUGACAUAAAGUGGUGACAGCUGCCAUCCUUGUCUUUCUUGGGACUUCAAAGGGAAAUUUUUCAACUUUUCACCAAUUCUAGGUCCAUCCACAUCUCUACAAAUGAC
Molecule: non-coding RNA, 294 nt
Organism: Kogia breviceps (pygmy sperm whale)
Lineage: Eukaryota; Metazoa; Chordata; Mammalia; Artiodactyla; Physeteridae
Source: RefSeq, a predicted model, not a curated record